UACAGAGGUCCCAAGCGUUGUUCGGAUUCACUGGGCGUAAAGGGUGCGUAGGUGGUCGGGUAAGUCUGAUGUGAAAUCUCUGGGCUCAACCCAGAAAUGGCAUUGGAUACUAUCCAGCUAGAGGAGUGGAGGGGGGACUGGAAUACUUGGUGUAGCAGUGAAAUGCUUAGAUAUCAAGUGGAACACCAGUGGCGAAGUCGAGUCCCUGGACACUUCCUGACACUGAGGCACGAAAGCUAGGGGAGCAAACAGG
RNAcentral lists this ribosomal RNA (253 nucleotides) under uncultured bacterium. RNAcentral's name for it is "partial 16S ribosomal RNA". It matches the Rfam family "Bacterial small subunit ribosomal RNA", at positions 524 to 776 of the family's 1533-position model. The record is from RNAcentral.